This is a long non-coding RNA of Spodoptera litura, 1071 nucleotides long. RefSeq lists it as uncharacterized. The record is from RefSeq and is a predicted model, not a curated record. NCBI's taxonomy places the organism in Eukaryota, Metazoa, Arthropoda, Insecta, Lepidoptera, Noctuidae.
GACCCCAGAGGCCUCUCAGUGGCGGUGGAAGAUCAUUCCAGCAGCGUGUCGCGGCAAAUUUAAAACUGCCCCUGAAAGCCACCGUCCUGUGCUGCGGUAUUCUUAACGGGUCGACAUCUGUACGGAGACCAGACUCGUAUCGAGUUUGACGCCAGAUCCUCGUUAACCCUCCGCACCGCCACGGCAGUAUCAUCCCCCCUGAAGGCUGUGUACAGCUGGAUGUCAUCCGCGUACAUAUGGUACUUACAGUUAAAAAAGGAUCCGGCAAUGUCAGCACUGUAGAGAAUGUACAGUAACGGCCCAAGUAUCGAUCCCUGUGGGACUCCUCUGGACACCUGUAGCGGAGCCGAUGACACAGUAGAUCCAUCAUCCCUACGAAUAUGCACACUCUGUGUUCUAUCAGUCAGAUAACUUCUGAACCAUUCUACGGCACCCCUGUCAAAGCCAUAGUAUGCCAACUUGGAUAGAAGCAGAUUGGUGUUAAUAGCGUCAAAAGCUCGCGAAAAAUCCAAUAGAACCAGAAUAGCGCCCUCACCUCGAUCGCGCGCCUCUAGAAUGUUUCCCACUACAUCCAAGAGUGCGGUUGCAGUGCCUCGUCCCCCACGGAACCCCGACUGAAGGUCAGGGAGAAUUUCGUUAGACUCAAGAUAUUCAAUCACCUGCAAGUACACCACUCGCUCCAAAAUCUUAGACAGGCAGGGAAGAAUGCUGAUCGGUCUAAGGUCCUUCACAGUAACCGGAUCGCUAACUUUUGGUAUAGGGCGCACUAUAGCACGUCGCCAGAGUCCGGGGAAUGUGCGCGACUCUAUAGAUCUAUUAAUGAUAUCAGUUACUGUUUGUAAUGUGUUUGUCAAUGUGAGCGUUAUCAUAUCCAGACUGAUACCAUCGACUCCCUGCGCGUUCGACCUCAGACUUCUAAUUAUGCUCAGAACUGUCUCCUGGUUAGUUGUUCUUAGCGAGAAUUCAGCUGAGCCAUGUUUAUGAGUACCAAAGUGAGCCAUUAGUGUAAAGUUGUCAUUGCCAUUUCCCGGGACAUCCAAAAAAGCUCUGUUGAUGGUAUCCGGAUUAUCA